RNAcentral lists this ribosomal RNA (447 nucleotides) under uncultured bacterium. RNAcentral's name for it is "bacterial SSU rRNA". It matches the Rfam family "Bacterial small subunit ribosomal RNA", at positions 355 to 825 of the family's 1533-position model. The record is from RNAcentral.
UGGGGAAUCUUGGACAAUGGGCGCAAGCCUGAUCCAGCCAUGCCGCGUGAGUGACGAAGGUCUUCGGAUUGUAAAGCUCUUUUGGCGGGGACGAUAAUGACGGUACCCGCAGAAUAAGCCCCGGCUAACUUCGUGCCAGCAGCCGCGGUAAUACGAAGGGGGCUAGCGUUGUUCGGAAUUACUGGGCGUAAAGCGCGUGUAGGCGGCGUAGCAAGUCGGGCGUGAAAGCCCACGGCUCAACCGUGGAACUGCGUCUGAUACUGGAUGGCUUGAGGACGGUUGGGGUGAGUGGAACUCCUGGUGGAGCGGUGAAAUGCGUAGAUAUCAGGAGGAACACCGGUGGCGAAAGCGGCUCACUGGACCAAUUCUGACGCUGAGGAGCGAAAGCCAGGGGAGCAAACGGGAUUAGAUACCCUCGUAGUCCCUGAGCGGGCUGGCAAGGCGCAU